GACGAACGCUGGCGGCGUGCUUAACACAUGCAAGUCGAACGGAAAGGCCCUGCUUUUGUGGGGUGCUCGAGUGGCGAACGGGUGAGUAACACGUGAGUAACCUGCCCUUGACUUUGGGAUAACUUCAGGAAACUGGGGCUAAUACCGGAUAGGAGCUCCUGCUGCACGGUGGGGGUUGGAAAGUUUCGGCGGUUGGGGAUGGACUCGCGGCUUAUCAGCUUGUUGGUGGGGUAGUGGCUUACCAAGGCUUUGACGGGUAGCCGGCCUGAGAGGGUGACCGGCCACAUUGGGACUGAGAUACGGCCCAGACUCCUACGGGAGGCAGCAGUGGGGAAUAUUGCACAAUGGGCGGAAGCCUGAUGCAGCAACGCCGCGUGCGGGAUGACGGCCUUCGGGUUGUAAACCGCUGUCGCCUGUGACGAAGCGUGAGUGACGGUAAUGGGUAAAGAAGCACCGGCUAACUACGUG
This 468-nucleotide ribosomal RNA is filed under the name uncultured bacterium. Its description in RNAcentral is "partial 16S ribosomal RNA". It matches the Rfam family "Bacterial small subunit ribosomal RNA", at positions 28 to 507 of the family's 1533-position model. The record is from RNAcentral.